This 255-nucleotide ribosomal RNA is filed under the name uncultured bacterium. RNAcentral's name for it is "partial 16S ribosomal RNA". It matches the Rfam family "Bacterial small subunit ribosomal RNA", at positions 524 to 777 of the family's 1533-position model. The record is from RNAcentral.
UACGGAGGGGACUAGCGGUUGUUCGGAAUUACUGGGCGUAAAGCGCACGUAGGCGGAUUUGUAAGUCAGGGGUGAAUCCCGAGGCUCAACCUCGGAACUGCCUUUGAUACUGCAAAUCUCGAGUCCGGAAGAGGUGAGUGGAACUCCUAGUGUAGAGGUGGAAUUCGUAGAUAUUAGGAAGAACACCAGUGGCGAAGGCGGCUCACUGGUCCGGUACUGGACGCUGAGGUGCGAAAGCGUGGGGAGCAAACAGGG